GACGAACGCUGGCGGCGUGCUUAACACAUGCAAGUCGAACGAUGAAGCCGGAGCUUGCUCCGGUGGAUUAGUGGCGAACGGGUGAGUAACACGUGAGCAAUCUGCCCUUGACUCUGGGAUAACUGCGGGAAACUGUAGCUAAUACCGGAUACGACACCUUGGGGCAUCCCAGGGUGUGGAAAGAAUUUCGGUCAAGGAUGAGCUCGCGGCCUAUCAGCUAGUUGGUGAGGUAAUGGCUCACCAGGGCGACGACGGGUAGCCGGCCUGAGAGGGUGAACGGCCACAAUGGAACUGAGACACGGUCCAGACUCCUACGGGAGGCAGCAGUGGGGAAUAUUGCACAAUGGGCGAAAGCCUGAUGCAGCAACGCCGCGUGAGGGAUGAAGGCCUUCGGGUUGUAAACCUCUUUUAGCAGGGAAGAAGCGAAAGUGACGGUACCUGCAGAAAAAGCACCGGCUAACUACGUGCCAGCCGCCGCCGUAA
RNAcentral lists this ribosomal RNA (483 nucleotides) under uncultured bacterium. Its description in RNAcentral is "partial 16S ribosomal RNA". It matches the Rfam family "Bacterial small subunit ribosomal RNA", at positions 28 to 523 of the family's 1533-position model. The record is from RNAcentral.